Molecule: unclassified non-coding RNA, 471 nt
Filed under: Bombus terrestris (buff-tailed bumblebee)
Lineage: Eukaryota; Metazoa; Arthropoda; Insecta; Hymenoptera; Apidae
Description: misc RNA ENSBTSG00005023992.1
Source: RNAcentral
AGUUCGGUAACCUAAUAUACAUUUCUCUAUACAAGACGCGGAAACGGAAUGAAACGGAAAUACGUUGAAUUUACCUAAAUUGAGUCGUCAUUGCGUUAUCCAAUGUAGAUUAACGCAACAACACCCUCUUUAGUUCUGUUUUAUUCCGAUGCAUGGUUAGUUUCAGGCUUUUGAUCCUCGUGCAAAAAUGUAAAAUGCCCAAGCAGCACGAAUUUUCGAAGGACAAUGUUUAGAGAAGGCAGAACAUAAAUCCAAUAUGUCUUCCAAACUUAAAUGAUUGUCUUUUUGUGAAGAAAAUACUCGAUAUAUUGAAUCACGAAACGGGCUGCACUAAAAUAAAUUAGUAUUACAAUAUUGAAAAUUAAACAAUAUCGAACGAUAUAAUUUAUCUGCACUACAUUAUUAAUUAUGUAUUAUUAUUUAUUAUUAUUAACUAUACAGAAAGAGGAAAUAUCAAUUUUACUAACAGGG